GGAAACAUAGCAAAAAGAGGUAAUGCGACAGACUUUUAAUCUGUAGGUGCAGGUUCGAAUCCUGCUGUUUCUA
This 73-nucleotide transfer RNA is filed under the name Streptococcus gallolyticus. RNAcentral describes it as "tRNA-Lys". It matches the Rfam family "tRNA". From Rfam's summary of the family: Transfer RNA (tRNA) molecules are approximately 80 nucleotides in length. Their secondary structure includes four short double-helical elements and three loops (D, anti-codon, and T loops). Lineage: Bacteria; Bacillati; Bacillota; Bacilli; Lactobacillales; Streptococcaceae. The record is from RNAcentral.